RNAcentral lists this long non-coding RNA (3918 nucleotides) under Sus scrofa (pig). RNAcentral describes it as "lncRNA (ENSSSCG00035064347.1)". Lineage: Eukaryota; Metazoa; Chordata; Mammalia; Artiodactyla; Suidae. The record is from RNAcentral.
UUUUUUUUUUUUUUUUUUUUUUUUUUUUUUUGCCUUGCCCAUGACAUGUGGAAUUCCCGGGCCAGGGAUCAAACCUGUGCCACAGUGGCUACCCAAGCCAGUGUGGUGACAAUGCCAGAUCUUUUACCAUCUGUGCCACGAGAGAACGCCUACAUUUUCUUUUGAAUACAUACUUUUUCUCUUUUAAAAGGUCCUGUAUUUUAAAAGUAGAUAAUACUGCACUACAGUUGAAUCUCUGACAUUGUUCUGGCUUCUUACUUGCUUCAUCUAUUUAUUUCUUUUAUUGUUUUUUAGGGCUGUACCCUUGACAUAAGGAAGUUCCCAGGCCAGGGAUUGGAUCUGAGCUGCCAUUGCAACCUACACCACAGCUGAUGCAAUGCCAGAUCCUUUAUCCCACUGCUCCGGGAGGGAAUUGAACCCAUGCCUCCAGAACGACCCAUGCACUGCAUUCUUAAUCCACUGUGCCCCAGCAGGAACCCCUGGCUUCUUCCAUUUAAAAAAUUAGGCCUUCUUCUGUGCUAAAGUGCCCAAGCUUUUCUGAGCCUCGGGAGAGCCACCAGCUGAGCUGACACCACAUCCCUGCAGGAAGGACCCACUCAUUAGCAAUCGAGAGGAAGUUCUGAUAUCGCCGGUGACACUGUCUCCUUGCACAGUCCUGCUUAUUGGAUUAGGAGAUUUUAAUCUGUCUCUUUAUUGGAUUUUCCUCCCGAGGCUCUUUUGAGGCAGGCAUGGCAGGCAUUUUCUUUAAGGAGGAAGAAAUGAACCAUCAAAGAGAGUGGGUCGCAAAGGAGGAACAGGGCAGAGCUGGCGGAGAACCCACCUUCUCCAGCCACUGGUCCUCAACCCCUCAAGCCAUCCUUCCUGCUGAAGGAAACAGGCAUUUCCUUCAUCCUGCAUUAGAGUGAAAACUCUGACACCUCUGCAAAAAUACCUAGUUUCAUAUUAAUCCACACAUGAUUACAACUUGGCUUGCUCCUUAGAAGAACAAUCCGUCUCUUAGAUGUGCUCAGAACCUGCCAGCUUUGUGACUGUUGGGCAGAUGACUCUGAUCUUUUGGCUUCGCAACCCUGAAGCACCGGCUGAGGAAGGAAUUUCUGAAAGUGAUUCUUUUCGUUUUCUGAGUGUGAUUCCUCAUGUACCUUUUUUUAACCUCUUUUUUUUUUUUUCUUUUUUUCAUUUCUUUAAAUAAAAGGGGAGGAGUUCCCGUCUGGCGCGCAGAAAUGAAUCCAACCAGUAUCCAUGAGGACUCAGGUUUGCGUCCUGGCCUCGCUCAGUGGGUGAAGAAUAAGGAUCUUGGGUUGCUGUGGUGUAGGCCAGCGGCUGUGGUGUAGGCCAGCAGCUGUGGCUCCGAUUGGACCCCUAGCCUGGGAUCCUUCCAUAUGCCACGGGUGCAGCCCUAAAAAGCAAAAUAAAUAGACAAAUUGAUAAAUAAAUGGGGAAAUUUUUUAAAUAAGAUAAAAAAAAAAAAGAGAUGCUGAUGAAAGUGUGUAAAUUUUUUCUCUCUGACUGGUCUAAAUGAUAGGUUCCUACAACAGAUUUCUGAAUACCCGCUUUAGUCAGCAUCCUAAAUCGCUUUUCCCCCUCUGAGUGAUACUUUGUUCCCUGCUGUUCACACACAAAGUGCUUGAGCUUCGGUCCCAAGGUAUGGGCUCCCCCAUUCCCAAUUUUUAGGAGCUAUGAAUAAGCUACAGAACCACUGGAUUUGGAUAUGCUGAGAAUCAAGUUUUGGGAGAAGAAAUAAGAGGUCUCUCAUAAUUUCUCUAUCUUCACUUGUUAUAAUCUCAGUCUCUUUUGGCAGAUUAAAAAAAAAGUAGAUUUUCUUGUCUGUACUGCAAAAUACAGUAUCACGUUCAAAAGAAGGGAAGAAAGGAUUUUAAGGUGAGUCAUCAAGAUAUUGGCUUUCCCAUUUUAUGACAUGAGAAGACCCACAGCCGCUCGACAAAUAGAGGCUCUCACCUUUGCACACUUGCGUUAGCACAAUGGCAUCCAGGAUAAUGCUUACCUGUUCAGGUAUUAACUUCAGCGAGGGAGUCAGUGCUUUGGUAUUUGGGUGUAUUUCUGUUGGCUCGAGAACAUACUGGAAGUCCCCAAAUACUUUUCCAUUGGAUUACCUCAGUUCUCUGCCACAACAGCCUGGAUCCAUUUCACAAGCCAAGAUAAGCAAACGCACAAUUAGAGUUAUGAAGUAGUCUGCUCAUUCAGAGUAUCAGCUCUUACCUUGAACUUGGCCAAGCUGUCAUCCUUGCUAUAUGGAGAUGUACAAUCUAAUGAAAUUAUAUGUUGUAAAUAUCUGUACUUAAUAUAUCCUUUCAAGCCUAUUCAGCAUUAAACAGCAUUUAUAACAAAAAAAAAAUCCUUUGCUGCCAAUGAAAACAAAGGUAUGUUCAUAUAUUUGAAUAUAAAUCUCUUGUGCAAAUUUCUGACAUUGUAGAGAAGAAGUGAUAUAAUCCGGAAAGAAAAGAAUCUUCAGGUGCUUCGUGGCUAGACUGGAACCCACAGGACAGCCUAACACUAUUCCAAAUCCAAUAAAAUGGAAAUGGUAAAUGAAUGACAAUUAUGUGGUGUUUAUGAAAUACAGGACACACCGAAUAUCUUUCUCAUUCUUCAUACCAAAACAUCUCUUUAUAAUUACUUGUUAAGAAAUUUAGAAAACAAUAGUAAUUGUGGAGAAGGUGACAAUGAGAGCCAAUCUGUGGGUGAUUAUUAAACACCUAGUAUAAACAGAUACAUUUUCCCCUCUAAAAAUAUUGAAUGGUUAUAAUUACAGUUUAUAGGGAUGAAGGACUCUUCUCAGUAAAUGAAGAUUCAAGUUGGUGAAUCACUGCAAAAGUACAUGCCAGGGAAACAAGUGAAUUUAUUAAAUUAAUAUGAAUAUACUCAGCUUACCCAAUGAUGUCCUGGUAGCUAGAAAAGGAUGUGGCUGAAGAACAAGGAUGAUAAGCCCACAGGAGAUAUGGGCUUCUACCUUUUCGGGGAUCUUGUGCAAAUAUUUAUCCAUCCCAAGCCUCAGUUUCCUUAACUGAAGAAGAGUGGUGGCCUCAUAGGUCUAAUAAAAGGAUUAAACAUUUUAAAAAACAAUAUAAAUUGCAGAAUAGAAUACCUAGCCCACAGUAAGUAUGCAUACAUUUGAACACUUAUUAAACCCUAACCCUAGCCUUGCUCCGGAGUUAAGGAUCCAGCUUUGCUGUGGCUGAGGUAUCGGCUGGUAGCUGCAGCUCCAAUUUGACCCCGAGCCUGGGAACAUCUAUAUGCCACGGGGGCAGCCCUACAAAGUAUCCCCAUCAUCAUCUCAUUUGGAUAGCUUCCUGUCCCACUUGGGAGUCACGCCGAACUUCCCGGGCAAUAAAAAGCAGCCCCAUUUCCAGAGUAACUAGAGAUGCUGAGAGACACCAGCCUACCUCCGUGGCCAGGCUCCCCACCCACGGCUGCAGGAGGUUUCAUCUUUCUCCUACCCUGGUCUCUGAGCAGGUCUGGGCAGGCCUGGGCCCAGCUGUGAUGUCUACAAAGGAAAUUCUCUGCGCCCUCUUCCUGCCAGACCCCACGGAGAAGAGAGAAUAAGGGCAACCCCAGGCUGCCCGGGAGAUGCAUAGGCUCGCUUUGGCGUGAUGCUCCAUCCCCUACGCAUGCCACACGCGCUUUUUCACCAGCCGACAGCCUGUCUUCUCCCUGAGAAUGAGCAGGAAUCAUUUUUAGAUGGAAGAGUUCACGGAAGCUGUUAGACAUCACCUGUGUGAUGUAGUCGUUUUACUUGGGCUUUGACUGGUUUUCCUGCAAAACGCAAUGUUAGAAAACACUUUCAACACAGCCCAGCAUUUUGCGAAGGGUGUCAGUAGUUUUCAGAAAGUCACAGAUACGAUCUGAGCAUGGUCUUGCAAGGGGCGGGUGCUUUCUAAGUAUUGGUUGAAUGACGCAAAUGAC